Molecule: long non-coding RNA, 3095 nt
Filed under: Pelobates cultripes (western spadefoot toad)
Lineage: Eukaryota; Metazoa; Chordata; Amphibia; Anura; Pelobatidae
Source: RNAcentral
AGAAAAAGUACAAAUAUAUUUUGGAAAAAAAAAAUAUUAAAUUUAUAAAAUAAUCCCACACGCAAAGCCAUGGGAAAAUCUGACAUCUACAAAAUAGACAGAAAAGAGCUGCAGAAUGGGGAGGGAGAGGAUAAGAAAAAAAAAAAAGCACAUUUUACAUUCAGUGAUCAAGCACCUCCCCCCAAGCCUAUUACUAUGAUUCACAAAGAUGCGCUGAAGUAUAGAAGGAAGCACAGAUAUAAUAAGAUUUCUACCUGAGUUUGCCGUAAGGUAAAUACAAUCAUUGAGAAGGAGGUCUAAGACCAAUUAGAGACAAACACACAAAGAGGUAUAUUUUCUUUAAAAAAUUUAAAACAAACUCCAUCUUUUAGAACCACUAGCGGUUAACCCCUUCAGUUUCUGAGUUAGCCAGAGUAACUCCAGCACCAGAUUGAUACAAACCAACAUAAUGUCAAUCUGAUACUUGAACCCGUACAUUUCAAUUUAAUCCCAUUUUUAACUCCAAGAGAUAACUUUCCCAUGGGUUGUUGGUGGGCAGUUAUUUUUUUUUCUUCUUUAUUUUACCACAACUAUGAUAAAGAUACAACCCCUCCCCACUUUCAUUAAGUUUAUAAUAGGAAAGAACAGGAGUCAAUUAAUUUAAAUAAUUCAGAUAUCAUUUAUAGGUAACCACCUAUUACCUACAGAAGUAGAUCCCAUUCUGAACUGUGCAUUCAAAUAGCACAUAUGCAUUAGGUAAAUUAUUAAAAUUAUAUUUUCUAUAAAACAAAAAAAUCCAUCUAUUAGUCAUGAAAAAAAAAAACAAUCGACAAAGUAGGUUUGUUCAUAAAAAUAUAAAAAAUACAAUCACAAUGUCAUACAUUUCUUUUGAUCCCUUCACACAUGGCAUAGCCUUGUGGUUCUGUAACAAAAAUUAUACCACUACAUGUUUUAGUUUAAGUGUUCACUCAUACAUGCAUGCAAACUGAAUGUUACAAAUCACAUAAAAAAAAUAUAUAUAUCUCUUGCAGAGAAAGACCUACCUAAAAGGUCUGCAGUGGGUAUAAUAAUUCUACAAUAAAACCUCUAGGUGCCAAAAUUAUCCCAACAGUAGAUACAUAUAAUACUGAAGAAAACACACCUUACAUCCCCCCCCCCACCCUCCCCAACAUUUGCAUAAUAUCUAGUAGACACUAUAUGAAAUCUUCUCUGCAGAUUUAUUUUCUGUUUUCCUGAGUACCUACGGGACAUUCCGGGAUUCUUUAUGCAAAAAAAAAUAAAAAAAAAAUUUUUAUUAAAGCAAUACAAUAACUAAAAGUAGACUACUUAUAAAUAGCCUCCCUGCCAAUAUGGUAAUUAUCCUAUCCAGCAGGAAAUGGUAGUUUGAAAAGGUAAAUACUAACGUCCUUGGUUCCAGUCUUUACACAUGAUGGGCACUGUGCUUUACGAAAAGAGGAGCAUGUAUAUAAUUCAGCCUCUUCUGUCCCAUCAUGUAAAGAGUGUGGUACAUGAAUAGUCUAUGAACACAGAUGGAUGAUAUAACCUUUACAGUGCAUGGAGUAAUUUGUUAUUGCAUUGAAAAGGUUACAAAGACAGGAAGAGCUAACUGAGGUAGGAAUGCAGGUUCAUAAUUUGUCACAGAUAUGCAGGUUCAUAAUUUGUCACAGAUCAUCCUAUCAAUCAGAUGAUUUCCCGACAGCACUGCAGUAGUCUCGAUCAGGUUUGGGUUUUUUGGAGGGGGAAAUUUAAUGAGGAAGCAUGGUCAUCUAAAACCUUUAUCCCAAAAGAUUAUAAAAAGGCGACACUUUGAUAAUCCAUGGGGCGAAAAUGAUUGAGAAAACAAGACAAAACAACAAUGCAAUUUUUCUUUAGACAUAAUUGCCAGUGGUUUGUUUUUUUGCAGAAUUUUUAACGGUUUAAAAUUACCCUUUGUAUCCAGAGUAAAAGAAAGGAGUUCAACAAUGUGAAAAGAAUUGCUCUACCCUUCUGGCACUCAAAAGGUUAAACACAUCUUAAUACUUAAUUUUUGGCACCUAUUAAGAUGAUCUAAAGAUUUGGCAGCACAAAAAAGUUUAAUAUUUUAUCUUUUGCAUUUUUCAAACAUACCUUAUUGGUACUAAACUCUGCUUUAGCUAGACAUUAGUGUUUAGUGACAAGAGUAAUAUGUCACUAUCUACAGCCAAAGGCAGGACAGACCCAGUACAGUCCCUCCUUAUAGAGCAAAGCUUCUAUACGGUUUGAAACAAGAACCACAACUAAUAACAUGGAUUUUAUAUUGGCCCAAAGGUUUACUCUCCCCAUGUCUUCCUAGGACGCAUGGGAAACCUGCUAAUUUAAGCACCGGAUUUUAAUAUUCUUUAGAACAGGUCAUUGCACGCAUGGUAUUAUCAACAUAUUGGCAAAUGUAACAUGCAAUGCACCAAUACGGGCUUAUAUCGCAAGGAUAUUAAACAGUUCUAUAGGAAUCCAUUUUAUAAACCGUCUGCAAACACAAUUUCAAUCUAAACAGCUGUUCAUAUAUUUAUGUUAGCAUACCAAUAUCUUGCCUAUGCAAUACUGUGGCUCUGCUAAUUUAAAAAGAUCACUUUUAUUGAAAUUAUUUGAUCUGAAAUAUUACUUUAGAGAUUUACAUUUUCUUUCCUUUUUACAAUCAGUCUUUGGAUUUUGGAUUUUUUUUUUUUUUAUCCCUUUGUUCCAGUUAAUCUAAUGAUUUAGUCAUUGUUUAGUUACAAAACUACAAAAAAAAAAAAAAAAAAGACUGCAGAGCGCAUGUGAUGCUAGCAGGAAAUCUUAACCUGGGAUGAGAAAUGUAUCUCCCAAUUUUACUUCACAAGGGAUGAAAUGCAGUGUUAGACUUCUAGUGGGAUUUCGGCGUUAUCAGGCAGUUCUAAAUUAAUCCUGUUUUUUUUAUUUGGUAAAACCAAACCAAAAUGCUGCUCAACAGAUUAAAAACCAGGACAGUUUGUUUUCUUUAAAGUGCUAUAUGGUGGUGCAAACUAAAUUGCUAACUACAGAGCCACAUUAAGCGCGGAGGUAUCAAAUAUUUACUUUAAAUCUGAAAUUACAUAUUAGAGGGGGAGUGGGGAAAUAAAAAUUAUGGGGGAGGGGCAAAUAUA